This 436-nucleotide ribosomal RNA is filed under the name uncultured bacterium. RNAcentral describes it as "bacterial SSU rRNA". It matches the Rfam family "Bacterial small subunit ribosomal RNA", at positions 339 to 791 of the family's 1533-position model. The record is from RNAcentral.
GUACGGGAGGCAGCAGUGGGGAAUAUUGCUUAAUGGGCGCAAGCCUGAAGCAGCAACGCCGCGUGUGCGAUGAAGGCCUUCGGGUUGUAAAGCACUUUUAGCAGGGAAAAGGAAGGAUGGUACCUGCAGAAUAAGCCUCGGCUAACUACGUGCCAGCAGCCGCGGUAAAACGUAGGAGGCGAGCGUUAUCCGGAUUUACUGGGUGUAAAGCGCGUGCAGGCGGUCGGUCAAGUUGGAUGUGAAAGCUCCCGGCUCAACUGGGAGAGGUCGUUCAAAACUGGUCGACUAGAGAGCAGUAGGGGAAGGUGGAAUUCCGGGUGUAGUGGUGAAAUGCGUAGAUAUCCGGAGGAACACCAGUGGCGAAGGCGGCCUUCUGGACUGCAACUGACGCUCAGACGCGAAAGCUAGGGGAGCAAACGGGAUUAGAUACCCCGGU